UACGUAGGGUGCAAGCGUUAAUCGGAAUUACUGGGCGUAAAGCGUGCGCAGGCGGCCUGCUAAGACAGAUGUGAAAUCCCCGGGCUCAACCUGGGAAUGGCAUUUGAGACUGGCAAGCUAGAGUGUAUCAGAGGGAGGUAGAACUCCACGUGUAGCAGUGAAAUGCGUAGAGAUGUGGAAGAACACCGAUGGCGAAGGCAGCCUCCUGGGAAAACACUGACGCUCAGGCACGAAAGCGUGGGGAGCAAACAGG
RNAcentral lists this ribosomal RNA (253 nucleotides) under uncultured bacterium. RNAcentral's name for it is "partial 16S ribosomal RNA". It matches the Rfam family "Bacterial small subunit ribosomal RNA", at positions 524 to 776 of the family's 1533-position model. The record is from RNAcentral.